RNAcentral lists this long non-coding RNA (1840 nucleotides) under Sorghum bicolor (sorghum). RNAcentral describes it as "long non-coding RNA (SBIC_LNC000143)". The record is from RNAcentral. Lineage: Eukaryota; Viridiplantae; Streptophyta; Magnoliopsida; Poales; Poaceae.
CAGCCUGCAGGGGAGGGGAGUGCGUGAUAUCCUUCGACUCGUAAUGGCCGGCCCAUUGCGGAGAACGUGACCUGGAACUGGGCCUCAUGUCGUCUUCUUUCACUUUCUCCCUUUUCCACUAAGAACUGUUUACCUUUUAUUAUGGCCUUGUUUAGUUCACCCCGAAAUUCAAAAAGUUUUCAAGAUUCCCCAUCACAUCGAAUCUUGCGGCGCAUGCAUGAAGCAUUAAAUAUAGACGAAAAUAAAAACUAAUUACACAGUUUGUCUGUAAAUCACGAGACGAAUCUUUUAAUGCUAGUUAGUUCAUGAUUGGAUAAUAUUUGUCAAAUAAAAACGAAAGUGCUAUAGUAGUGAAAUCCAAAAAUUUUUCGGAACUAAACAAGGCUAUAGUUUUAGCAAAGUGGGUUCCCGACUUCACGUAGAAAAAAAAAACUAGUGACGGCCUGUUCACCUUUUCAAGUUUUCACUGGAAUGGAAUCCAAACGUGUCCAGAGGCGCUCAAGCUUUUCACACUCGAUGGAGACUAUUUUCUUUUACCGAGUGAUUUAUCGGAUGUUAACGACGAUUCUACAGCAUUGUAUGGCCAAAGUAAGAAAAACGUUUGGAAGGAAAAACAAUGAGAUAUCGAUGGUUCUUUCUCUAGUAAUACGCAAACGGUCAACUUUUUUCAAAAGGCCAUCGAUAUAGCAUGUUAGGCACAUAUUAAUAGAGAAAAAAAACCAGAAAUAAUAAAAAAAAUAGAAAAAAAACUCAACACCUGCAAAGAUGACAACAAGACCACCACCAAAAUAAACAACACCGACAAACUAGACAAAGACAAUCAAACAUCACCCCAUACGACACACGAAACAAGCAUUGUAACAUAAAAAUGAGGAGGAGGUCUCCACAACAAGAUGCCGCAAACGCCGAUUGAAGAACCAAGGUUUCUAUGAACUCCAACUACUAUAGAGGCAAGGGCCUCACUACAAUGCCUCUAAUGAGGGGGGUGAUGCUAAAAGCAUCACCAUUAUCGACCACAACCCAAGCCUAAGCAGGUCUUUCGUCCGAAAGUCCCCAACACCUUAGACCCAACUCUCGCCAUGCAAUGGAUCCUUGCAGCAGCACUAAAAUGUAGUAAACCACCACAAGUAGGAGAUCAUCGGAGGCACCGAUGAGGUCAUAGGCACACGCCAGCUUGCAAGGGCCGCCUCCAUUCUGGAUGACACCAAACACCACUUGCUCCUGCACCAUGCCAAGGGCAGCGUUGAUGACCAUCACUGUCCAUGAACACGAGGUUUCUAGAGAAAGUAACAAGCGUUCCUGCCCUAACACCCACAAAGAUCUGAUUUCUACUGGUUGACGCUGCGACCGCAAGCCAGCGAGAGAUAUGUGUGGCAUGUCGUAGUCACCCCGAUCAAUACGAACCACAACCAACCAGUAGUCGUUGGCCCAUAGAAGAUCGUUUAACAGGAGAUCCACGACCACUACAAUAAUUCAGGGCUUCUAUGACGAUUAGAUUAUGACGAUAACAACCUGAUUCUUGUCAUUGCUUGCCUACUGUGACAAAGUGACUAUCGUCACAUAAGGUGGGUCACUAAACAACUUCUGUGACCACUAGAGGACUUCGUCAUUGACCGGACGGUGGUUCAAAAAUUGUACCUUAAAUGGAUAACCUAUGGACAUGACAUAAGGCACAUUAGAUGGUAGGGAUAAAAUAUAACCCUAAAUCGUAAGUAACUCUCAACCACGUGGCUUUGAGCCUUUAAGAAUCGUUCGGUAUGGAAUGAACUUAUAAUCUGAUGAUCGAGUCGAUUUCAUUAUUAUAAGUUCAUAACCCUAGCACCCAUUCCCAUUUUGGGCU